RNAcentral lists this long non-coding RNA (211 nucleotides) under Salvia miltiorrhiza (redroot sage). RNAcentral's name for it is "long non-coding RNA (SMIL_LNC009632)". The record is from RNAcentral. Lineage: Eukaryota; Viridiplantae; Streptophyta; Magnoliopsida; Lamiales; Lamiaceae.
AGUGCAUCAAACUCAGUUCUCAUCAGAAAAGCGAUAAGAAACAACAUCAACCUCUUACCUCGUUAAGCCGGAGGAGAUGGGGUGCUGGGGUUUCGUUUCAAAAGACUCUUUCUCAAGCUAGUCUAAGAACUCAUAUUAGACUAGUACUCAAUCAAGCAAUUAACUCAGAGCAGACGACCUGCUCUGAUACCACUCUGUCGCAGCCCGUUUC